RNAcentral lists this ribosomal RNA (301 nucleotides) under uncultured bacterium. RNAcentral's name for it is "partial 16S ribosomal RNA". It matches the Rfam family "Bacterial small subunit ribosomal RNA", at positions 509 to 809 of the family's 1533-position model. The record is from RNAcentral.
CAGUAGCCACGGUAAUACGUAGGGUGCAAGCGUUAUCCGGAAUUAUUGGGCGUAAAGAGCUCGUAGGCGGUUUGUCGCGUCUGCUGUGAAAACUGGAGGCUCAACCUCCAGCCUGCAGUGGGUACGGGCAGACUAGAGUGCGGUAGGGGAGAUUGGAAUUCCUGGUGUAGCGGUGGAAUGCGCAGAUACCAGGAGGAACACCGAUGGCGAAGGCAGAUCUCUGGGCCGUAACUGACGCUGAGGAGCGAAAGCAUGGGGAGCGAACAGGAUUAGAUACCCGCGUAGUCCCUGUCUCUUAUAA